This 10615-nucleotide unclassified non-coding RNA is filed under the name Octopus sinensis (East Asian common octopus). RNAcentral's name for it is "dedicator of cytokinesis protein 1, transcript variant X1". Lineage: Eukaryota; Metazoa; Mollusca; Cephalopoda; Octopoda; Octopodidae. The record is from RNAcentral.
CCUCCCCCACUUCCAUUCGGUCCUGAAGUCAGGUCACGUGAUAACCAGAAUCAAGAUGGCGCUGUUUUGGGCGCAGUGUCGCAACUGUCGCACCAGCAGCAGUAGUAAGUUUUAUAGUAAUAAUAACAACAACACUAAUUACUGUCAACCGAUGACCGGUUGUCUUUCCCAUGCAUUACCUCUAUUACCGUUGUUGUUUUAAUUGUUUGGAACCAAAAAGAAAAAAAAAAACGGAAAUUCAUUUUUAUUUACUAUUUUUGCUUGUGUUUGAAAGUGUAUAAUUAUCAGUCAUGGCGAAGUGGACUGCUACAAAUACCAACGAAAGAUAUGGAGUCGUGAUUUACAGCUAUCAUGGCACUGCAGAAAAGACUUUACCCCUCACUGUUGGACAAACUGUAUAUAUUGAAGAAGAAACAGAUGGGUGGUAUAAAGGUUACAAAAUUAAAAACAAACAUGAGAGGGGAAUAUUUCCAAAGACUUAUGUGUUCAUCAAAGAAGCCACACUUUCAGGAUGUCAAGAACUCAUUUACACAGGUGAACCACCAAUUGUUGCAGAGAUUACAAGUGUACUUCGAGAAUGGAGUAACAUAAUGUAUCAACUUUAUGAGAACUGUGAUGAAAAAUUUCUUGACAUCCGAAAUUCAGUACUAGAUUUAAUGGAAUGGCGGAGUAAGAUUUUAUCCCAAAAAAUGACUGUGGAUGAGUUACGUGAUUUGAAGCACAAAGCCACCUCUAAAAUCGAUUCUGGAAAUGUUUCCUUAAAGAUGGACCUUGUGGUGCGUGAUGAUGAAGGAAAUAUUAUUGAUCCUCAGAAAACCAGCACUGUAAAGAUUUAUCGUCAGCAUGUUCUUGCAGCUAAAAGAAUCCAAGAAAAUAGUCGAAAUUCCACUGAAGUAGAAGUGAAACCAUUAAUUCAACCAACAUUUGGAUUGUACGUGAUGUUGCGGAACUUUGUAUGUCGAAUUGGGGAAGAUGCAGAUCUGCUGAUGAAUCUCUACGAUGAACAAACAGGAAACUUUAUUAGUGAAAAUUAUGUUGUGAAAUGGGGUAAAGAAGGAAUGCCUAAAGAUAUAGAUAUGUUGAAUAAUUUCAGAGUUGUGUUCACAGAUCUUGGUUCCAAAGACAGACAACGAGAAAAAGUGUUCUUAUUAUUCCAGAUAGUUCGAAUUGGUACCAUGGAUCCUCGGGAUAUGGAUAACAAAAAACAAACUCAAGGCUUACGGCGACCUUUUGGUGUUGCUGCUAUGGAUGUUACUGCUUUCAUUCAAGGAGGCUCACUUGAGUGCAAUGAAGACACACAGCAUUUUAUUCAUGUCCAUAUGUGUGGUGAAAGAGAAUUUCUUGAAACUGUGAUAAAGAAAAUUACAAGUGGACGCGAAAGUGAUCAUAAAGGCCAAGGUGUGUGGGUUUCCAUUAAAGUGCUGGAAGGAGAUUCACAACAGAUCUGGGAUGAUUACCCACAUUUAGUUUUACCUGGGACAGCAAUAUCUCGUAAAAUUGGCUUUCCAGAGGUUAUCAUGCCAGUAGAAGGUGAUGUCCGGAAUGAAAUUUACAUUACAUUAAUGCAAGGCGAAUUUAACAAAGGCUCCAAGACAUCAGAGAAAAAUGUUGAGGUGACGAUCCAAGUUUGCAAUCAAAAAGGAGAGACACUUGAGAAUGUGAUAAGUGGCGGUGCUGGUGGUGAGAUGAUGUCAAGGUACAGUUCCUGUAUUUAUUAUCACGAAGACCGACCAAAAUGGUUUGAGACUGUGAAGGUUGCUAUUUCCACUGAAGAAGAAUUCCGAGGUCUUCAUCUGAAAUUCCUAUUUAAACAUCGUUCCUCAAGUGAAGGUAAAGACAAACUGGAGAAACCAUUUGCUAUGGCAUUCAUCAAACUAAUGAAUGAGGAUGGUACGACAUUAAAAGACACAAUCCAUGACUUGCUCAUCUAUAAAGCUGAAUCAAAAAAAGUUGAUAACUUCAAAGACUACUUUGAUUUCCCAUCUACACGGUAUGAGUUUGAAAAUUGUUCAAGCAAUUUUGUGAACAGCAGGUCCAGUUUACAAAGAGGUGGCCUUAUCAUCAGCACCAAAGAUUUUGUUCAGAUCAAAACAUAUGUAUGUUCAACAAAAUUAACACAUAAUGUAAAUCUCCUUGGUUUAUUAAAAUGGCAAGAAAUAUUAAAUGAUUCUGUUGCCUUAAAGAAGCAUCUAGAAGAGUUGAUGACUGUGGAUGGUGAAGAGAUUGUGAAGUUUUUACAAGAUCUGCUUGAUUCAUUAUUCAGUAUUUUAAUGCAAAACAACAAUUCAGAUACCUAUGAAAAUUUAGUGUUCACAUCUUUGACCCAUAUCAUCUCUCUAAUUUCUGAUCGAAAAUACCAGCAGUUCAGGCCUGUCCUUGAUACUUACAUUACAAUAACUUUCAGUUUUGCAAUGGCCUACAGUAAAUUAAUUGUUAUCUUGAAAGACUAUGUUGAUUCAGCAACUGAGUCCAAUCCUACACUUUUCAUUGCCAUGAAAUCCUUGGAGUAUAUCAUGAAAUUUAUAAUCCGAUCUCGCUUUCUCUUUUCUAUAAUCAAUGAUGAACGCGGCCGAGAACAGUUUGAGAUUAGUUUGAGACAGCUUUUUAUGUCUAUCAAUCAAAUGAUGGCUCACAAAGCUGACACUACUAUCCUAGUUCAAGGUGCUGCAUUGAAAUAUAUUACAGCCACAAUACCUGAUGUGAUUUCUGUAUUUAGUCCAACUGAACUCAGUAAACUAUUGGUGGCAUUCUUUGAUGCCAUACCACCGAAUCGGCUGUCCAAUCAAAAAAUGCAAAGUAUUAACAACCUGGUCCACAGUAAACUAUUUGAGGAUAGUGCGUGCCGACAUAUUCUUCUUCCUAUGAUCUUGACCCACACUUCUGAGCUGCUAAACAACAAACGAGAAAUGCCAGAAUGUGCCAAUGUUCUCAGUGAUAUCAUGGACAGUUUCUACUGUACAAGAAAUGUUGAUGAUUUGUCAAUAAUGAUCCAAAAGAUAUUCAGAACUGUGAUUCAAACAAUUAUUCAGAUGGAUUGGAAUCAAAGUCUUGUGGGCAACUAUGUUGCGAUAAUGAUGGCCAUUCUCAGUCAAAUGACUCAGCAUCACUACACUGUGUAUAUUAACAGCUUUGCAACACGUUUUGAUUUGCUUGAUUUCCUUACUGAAAUACUCAUGAUUCUACAACAUUUAAUAACUGAGAAUGUCUACAAGAAUGACUGGAAUGAGAUGAUUUUGCAUCAAAACAGCAUCAUUCUUCGAGCCUUGAGGUUUUUUGCCACAACAAUAAAAAGUAGCUUUUCUGAUCCAUUUGAAUAUGAGCUAUGGAAUGGAUUCUUCUUCUGUGCAGUAUCAUUUCUUACACAAAAGCCAUUGCAACUGGAGAAAUUCUCUCUUAAUAAAAGAAGUAAAAUUAUAGCCAGAUAUAAAGACAUGCGACGAGAGAUGGGGUUUGAAAUUCGAAGCAUGUGGUUCAAACUGGAUCAAAACAAACACCGGUUCAUUCCUGAUUUGGUUGGUAAAAUUUUGGAGAUGACACUUAUUCCUGAAACUAUUUUGAGGAAAGCCACUAUUCCAAUCUUCUUUGACAUGAUGCAGUGUGAGUUUCAGCAAAUCUCACCAGAUGGACGAAACUCUAAAAAUAAUUUUUCUGAGGUUGAAAACCAAAUAGUAACUCAGCUUGAUGUACUUGUUGAAGGUGGCUGUGGUGAUGAAGAAUACAUGGAACUUAUGUAUGAAAUCUUGAAAGAUUUAUUUGAAAAGCAUAAACAGAUGGCACAACAAGGAGAAGUAUUUGUUGAGAUGAUCCGUAAGCUACUACAACGGCUGUUACAGUAUAGAACAAUGAUCCAAGAUGAAGUUAAGGAUCAUAGAAUGAGUUGUAUUGUAAAUUUGUUGAAUUUUUAUCAUGAAAUUUGUCGUGAAGAACUAUAUGUUCGCUACCUGCAUAAACUGUGUGACCUGCAUUUAGACUGUGAUAAUUUUACUGAAGCUGCCUGUGCCCUCAAUUUGUAUGCUAAUAUGCUUGAAUGGUCUGAUAAAUCGGUUCCACCUGUACUCAUGAGUCAUCAGUACCCUGAAUACCAGACCCAAUUAACACUGAAAGAGAGGUUAUAUUAUGACAUGAUUGAUUACUUUGAGAGAGGCAAGAUGUGGGAAAAGGGAAUUGAACUGUGCAAAGAACUAGCAAAUCUCUAUGAAAAUGAACUCUUCGAUUAUGAACGCCUGAGUGAAUUACUGAAAAGGCAAGCUGAUCUAUAUGUUCAGAUCAUGAAAACAUUGAGAUAUGCCUCAGAAUAUUUUCGUGUUGCUUAUUAUGGCAGAGGUUUUCCAUCUUUUCUUCAGAACCAAGUAUACAUUUACCGAGGGAAAGAAUAUGAAAGGCUUACAGACUUCAGUGCUCGUUUGCUAACAAUGUUUCCAUAUGCCGAAAAACUGACCACUUUAUCCACUCCAGGAGAUGAUAUUAAAUUAUCUCCCAAACAGUACCUGCAGAUUAAUGCAGUUACACCAUGUUUAGAUCUGAAGAGUCAAUUCAAGAACAAGACAGUGAGUGAAUCAAUAUUAAGCUACUAUAUGGUCAAUGAAGUCCAAAAGUUUACCUAUUCUCGACGAAUGGAUGACAAUGUCAAAGACGUGAAGGACAUGUGGUUGGAACGCACAAUUUUAGUUAUAUCCCAUCCACUUCCAGGGAUUCUUCGCUGGUUUCCUGUUGUCUCUACUGAAGUGGUUGAAGUUAGUCCACUUGAAACCGCUAUUGAAACGCUAGAAACAACAAAUAAGAAACUUCAAGGACUAAUAGGCCAGCAUAACAAAGAUCCUAGUUUGAGGGUUGACCAGCUUACUAUGUUAUUGAGUGGAGUUGUUGAUCCUGCAGUUAACAAGGGUAUUCUCAACUACAAAGAGUUUUAUUCCACUGAAUUCCUAAUGAACCAUGAAAAUGACAAAAAUACUGUUGAUAUGAUUUCCAGGCUGAAGAGUUUAACUUUGGAGCAGGGUGCUUUGUUGAGAGAUGCCCUUCAGGUACACAAACGACUUUCUCCUGAAAGAAUAAAACCUUUACAUGCUCAUAUGGAGCAUCGGUUUGCUGAACUGUGUGAUUGCAUUGAACAGGAAUGUGGUUUGCGGAUUGCAGAGAAAGAUAUCACCAAUGCCAUGAGAAGAAAUCAAUCUUCCUUAUCAAUGUCCUCUUCUCCAAGAUACAGUAGUAGUUCAAUAGCAGCUAUAGCUGAGACAGGUUCACAUACUUUAAACCACAUACCUUCUCCAACUACCAAAAGUAACACUGCUCUCCGGUCGCGUUCGAUUUCCUGCGCUUCAGUAGCCGGUGUCGUAGCAGAAUGUGCAAAUGGUUUCCCAUUAAAAAGCAAAAACAGGCGCACAUCUCAACUACCUGAUGCCACUAACAGUGCAUCAAGUAGCCAACGUAAUUCUGUGGAGCAGCGCUUAGAGCUUAAUGAGCAGAAACACCCGAAUCAACCAGCGAUGAUUCUGAUUUCUAUGGCGAACCACCGCCGCUCCCGGAAAAGUUAACAUUUGCUGACUACACAAAUACUAUGGGAGAGGACUCACAAAUCGUUUCCCAUCGUCUAAUCACUACAGUUGGACCUAAGAACAAACCACCUCCUCCAAUCCCAGUUGAAGAAGAAAUACCACCUGUACCUAGAAAGCCACCACUUCCACGAUAACAUCAACAGACUUGCUCAAAGAUUCAUGACUGUGCUCUCAUCAUUUUUCAAGCAACAACAUUGUUUGUUUUUACUGCACUUGCCAGCAAGUGAAUUAGAGGAGAAGAGAUUACUCUGGCAGUGCCAGAUUUACACUAAAUUACUCUUGAGUCUAAAUGAAAUCUACAAAGCUAGACUGGAAGAAAAUCUCAUGAAAUUAAAAUGUUAUGGCAAUAUUUUUCCCCUCCAUAACAUCAAAACAUAAACCCAUGCACAUUUCACAUUUAUUUUUUUUCCUUUAUGCAUUUAAGUUUUUAUAAUUUCCUCUUCAAAUUUUAUCUAUAAAACUAAACAGAAAUAAUCUUUUGGGAGGAACGAACAUAUUUCAACUAUCUCUUGAACAAAUUUUAUAUAAAUUUAAUUUUUUUUUUUCCCUGUUCAACAGUUGGAAGUUACCUCCAUCUCUAUAUGUUGACAUUUUGGAGUAUUCCUCACUCCAUCUAAUAACAACACUAUUCAACGCUGGUUAUUUUCCUCCUUCCCCUACCUUAUUGAUAUCCUUGCCAGGGAUAUAACUCAACUGCUGGCAGCUGGCAAAUAGAUUUUGCUGUACGAAGACUAUUUUUAACAUUUUUAUUUUAAUCAUUUAUUUUUUAAAUGUCCAUCAAAGACAAUUUUACUCAUUCGUUGUGAUGGAAUUCGAUUCAUAUUUUCUAUUAGUUAUCCAUAUGUCCUGGAUAUUUUUAACAUUUAUAACUCUUAAGUAAUCAGUUUUAAGUAAAUCAAAUUGCACAUAAGUACAUCUGUAUUAUACUUAGAUCUGACUACUCAAUGUGCAUUUGUAUCCUGUGAGUUACAAGAAAUUCUUUUUUUAUGAGGUUCCCUCAAGGAAAAUAUUCUAGACAUAAAGUUAUAUAUCCUUCUCUUUUUAUCUGAAAAAUAUUCUAUAUUGAUUACUUUUCACUGAAAGUAACUAAGCAUAUAUACAUUCUUGGAAGUGCAUCUUUUCUGCCUUCAUUACACUUCCAUGUAUCAUAGUUGUGAAAUACAUUACAGUCUUUGUGAACACAUGACUGUAUAUUUGUUGAGUGCUGUUCAUGUUUACUUGUUAUGUAAUCGAAACAUAUGAAAGAAUUCUAUGAAUGAAAGGUUGAGCCGAGAAUCUCAUAUCUGAAUAUAAACACAAUUAAAACUGCUGUUUCCUCAUUCACACAUACACAAAUCACACAACCCCAUCCCCCCACUUAAAUGAUUAGCUAGGUACACAUAGACACACAAAUGCAACAACACUGGUUCAAAUUCUCUGUUUUACUGUGUGAAUAUUUAUAUGAAAUAUAACAUUAUUUAUGAUUUCACUGUUUAUUUUGAACAAUAGAUGUCAGGUGCUAAAUGAAUCACAAAAUACUGCUUUAAACUUUCUAAUUUAAGACUAUGAAAAUUGUUAGUAACCUGAAGAUUUUGGACAGUUUUUCUGUUUUCUUUCUUUAUACUUAAAAGGAUUUUUUUUGCAUCUUUUUUGAUUCUUCACUGAAAUACAUAAUUUACUGAAUUAAGUUAUUCAAAUCUACAACUACUAAUUUAUAUAUAUAAUAUACACACACACAUAUAUGCACACAUAGCCUUUUGUAUUCAUUUCUGUUAUUAUUGUUUUGUAAUAUAUGUGAAAAUCCUUCAUCAUACAUCUUUUAUCUUGUCACUGAUUGAAGCAGAUUACCAAUAAAUAUGUCAGAGUACAGCAAAAUACUUUCCACGUUUAAGGGUUUUUACUGUCAUCACAAAACAAUAAUAUAGCUGAAGUGAAUCUAGCAGCAAGCAAUUUUAAUGAAUCAAGGCUUUAGUAUGAUGCAAUUACUUUAAUAUUAACACACAAUUCCAAAUGAAAUCACGAACCAAGCAAGUGUAACCAAGAAGUACACAUCAUCAUCACCAUCAUCAUAAUUUUAUGCCCAUUUUACCAAACUGGAUAUAAGUCUGUAUUGUACGUGUGUGUGUGUGAUCGCAUAAAACAGAAGCUGUAACAAUAUUUUUAAAGAUUAAAGAUCUUAAUUCAUUCUUACUCAGUAUUUCAGUUUAGCAGAUCAUAAUUAUGAAAUGAAACUGAGCAAUUAAGCAGGUUUUUAAAUUCAUAUAUAUAUAUAUAUAUAAUUUCAUUUGGGUGUUGACCCUUGAGUUUACCCUAUUAUCCAUGGGUCCAAGUUAUCAGACAGACAGUAAUGCAGAGAUUGUUUGUUUUAUCAAAAACAUUCUUAAAAAUCCACACAUAUCCAGAGAUUUUACAAUUAUAAACAAAGAGAGGCAAGUCCUUUUAUUACAUUAAUUUGCACAAUUGUUUCAUCUGAAUUCAAUCUCAUGAAUAUUGCUAUAUUUGCAAAUAACUUUAUGCAUAAUAUAACAAUAUUCAUGAGAUCAAUUUCUGAUGGAACAAUUGCAAAUUAAUGUAAUAAAAGGAUUAGCUCAUUCCAUUUUCCUUGUUUGUACAUACAGACAUUCAAAUAUAUAUAUAGACACACACACACACACAUAUUUGUGUAGAAUAAAAACUGUCUUGAGGUAAAUUUUAGAUAUAUUAUUGUGGGUAGAAUUUUGUAGCUUAAUUUGAGAGAGGAAAACUACAGGUCUCCUGGUUUUACUAGUAAGAAACAAAUAUGCUUUGUGAUUUCUGUAAGUUAGCACAUGAUUAUUUUUUCAGAUCUCAAAUUGUUGUUUACAAAUAUAUUUUUUAAUGUUAUAAUUGUAGCUAACCAUUAUAUUAAAUAAAAAUAGACAUUAUGUAUAGUCUAUUUUUAUUUCCAAAUCAAGCAAGCUUAGUAGGCUUCUAAGUUUUUAGUUAACAUUAAGUCAGUGUAAGUCUGAAAAAAUUAAGGUAUUUUCUUGUAAAUUUUUUUUCAUACCUCUAGAAAUUUUAGAAUAAUUUUUUUAAUCCCAUAUAUCUUCAUCUCUAGAUUCACCUAUGAUUAACGGUUCUAAUAAAAAAUUUUGCUUUGAGAAGCUAUGUCUUCAUCAAGACAGAAUGCUAGCAAUUCUGUCAAGGUGGUUUCUUAACUAAGGAAGUUGAGGUUGGAUUGCAAUGUUCAGCUGCUAAACACUGUCAAAAUUGUUAUUACCUAUCUACACAAACACACACCUGUGGCACAUGCAUCAUCAUUCUCAGAGAGCUGAAAGAUUAAAAUGACUGUUGUGAAAUUGGAACCACAGAAACAGACCCUAAAUUAAGUAAUGGGAUCAACAUAAUUGACUAUAUCCCUGAAAGUAAUGCUCCAGCUUGGCAGGAUCCUGAUAAAUAAAGUCAGUAAAAGAAUACAUUCAUUUGUUAUCAGGAUUAGCUUGAACAAAGAUAUUUCUGCUGUUUGCAGAAUGAUAAAGUUAAAACUGCAUACACAAGACCUUACCUGAUGUGUUUUUGAUAUGUAGACUGCUUCCCUGACAUAGUUUACCUCAGCCAUAUUGUUGAUAUACAUAACCAGUAUCACUACAUUCCUUCUAUACAUAGAUUACUCUAAAUCUUGCCACUUCAAUAUAAUAUGCUUUGGUGCAGAGGUCUAAUAAGUUUGAAACGUAUUUGUUGUUUUCAUAGUUUACUUUAAAGACAUGAUCCAUUCCGAUGUGCAUUGUCUUUAAUUAUCAAAACAUUUAUCUCCCUUAUUUUCAAGAUUUUUAAGCAUUCCUAGAUUUUGUCUAUUGACUGCUUGAAUGAAUUCAGUUGAAAUUUUGUAACUCACUAUAUUAUAUGGGAGACCCCACUAAAUUAGUACAUGAUUGUAUAUAGCCAAAGAAUUUUGGCAGAUCUUGAAACAAUAGCGAUUUUUUAUUGAUACUUUUAGCUAAAGCUAUAUGUCUCAAUGUGUGCUUGACUCCAGUAACUUACUUGGUUGUAGGCAAACCGUUUUCACAUUGUAGUGUCUCUAGGCAAGUUAGUGUAGUGAAACCCAUCUCGUUUUCCCUCCCCACUGUUCAAAUAAACUUAUAGUCACUGUAGUUAUAGAAGUUCAUCAUUGCAAGUUUAAAAAAAUACUUAGCAGUUAAACAUUGCUUGCAUUAUUUAAUAACAUAAAAUUAGCUGUACUACUUCAUAGAAUCUAUUUUGGAGUAAUUGACUUUCGUAAUAUUUUAUUUUUAUAUCUUCCAUUAGUGAACAAUAGCAUUGUUAGUUAUAGGUUUCUAAUGAGCCAAUCAUUGGUUCACUAUACAGUGUUUUGGUGAAUGUCAUGUGGAAUAGCUUCCUUAUUUCCUUAACCACUUACUACUUUUUUUUAAAGAUAUAGUUAUGUUCUGUGAACCUUUUAUUGCCAAAUUUCCCGAAACAAAUGCAAAAAGAUGAUUCAGUUUUUGAAUCAAUAAGCAAUCAAGUGGCUGAAUGGUCUAAGAGGUUUGCUUCACAAGCAUAUGGUCCUCAGUUCAAUCCCACUGUGUAGCACUUUGAGCAAGUGUCUUUUACUAUUGUCUUGGAUCAGCCCAAGCUUUGUAAAUGAUUUUGGGUAAAUUGAAACUGUCUGAUGGACUGUACUUGUAAUUUAAAAUGGCAGCUUUCUCACUCACUGUACUAUGCUGAUUCUGGCUCAGUUACCUUAAAAGAAAGUACAAAUGUGUCUGGAAUAUUCAGCCACUUAAACUAUGUAUCUUUUGUUUUUCCCUGUCAUCCACAAACAUAUUUUGUCUAGCGUUUUCAUGCAAAUCUAUGAUUAAAGACAUUCCAGCCAUGACCAUCCCAUCUUUUCAAACAUUGUUUAUCUUAUAUGUCAUUUUCUACUAUGUUCUUCCUUUUUCUAAGGAUAGUAGAGUGUGAUCCAAAAGAGAUUUAACUGCUAUUUCUUGUUUGUCAAGCAACCACAAACAUGCUUUCUCACUGACUUUGAUGGUGAUGAUCUAGUAAAAUAGAAAUAUUUAAUGUAAUCAAUGUGAAGUUUGGCUAAACAUAGGAAUUUUAAUAAAUUGAAUUUUUUUGACAUCCAU